CAAAACCCCCCCUGUGGUUUCGUAGUUUUUCACUUUGCCCCCCUGUGGUUUAAAAUGUAUCAAUUUGCUCCCCUAUGGUUUCUUUUUUCUCUUUUUCUUAUCAAUUUUAUUAUUUUUUUUCUUAAAUCAGUGAUAAAGUUAAAAUUAAAGGGUACUAAAGUGAAUAUUUGAUAAAUCUAGAUGGGUAUCUGAAGUUUUUUUUUGUAUAUAAUUUAAUGAAAUAUUAACGAAAAAGCUAUCGAAAAGAUAAAAACGAAACCACAGAGGGGCAAUUUGAUACAUUUGAAACCAAAGGGGGGCAAAGUGAGAAACUACGAAACCACAGGGGGGGUUUUUGAAGUUUUUCCUUUAAACUUGAUAGAGGUUUUUAAUUUUGUAAAUUUUGAAUUUCAUAAUUAUUU
This 401-nucleotide long non-coding RNA is filed under the name Ananas comosus (pineapple). Its description in RNAcentral is "long non-coding RNA (ACOM_LNC006721)". The record is from RNAcentral. Lineage: Eukaryota; Viridiplantae; Streptophyta; Magnoliopsida; Poales; Bromeliaceae.